AAAAAAAAGAGAGAGAGAAGGAGAAGGAGCAGAAUCGUUAGGGUUUGGGAGGAAUCAAUUUCAUCACAUCAAAUCGUUGUUAAAAGUAACGAAAUUUGGUAGAGUUAUUCCCAAAUCUUUUAUCGUUAUUCUCCAGUUUACAGAAGUGGAUUUGGAUUUAAAUUGGUUGAGUUAUUCGCAAGACACGUUUUCUCAGACGCGAAUUAGGACCAGCGGGGAUUAAAACUGAGAUCGUGUCUGGUCUGUUUUCUGAUCGGCACGAGUUUUUGUGGGCAACUUUGUGACAUCUACGGCUAGCGUUUCACCGGAGGGAUUUAAUAGUAAACGGUUAGUUUGUAUUUUAGGGUUUCGUCUUUAAGACUGUUUGUUUUUGUUUUUCAUGUCCAGUUUGCUUCAAGGUUGCUUUUGGUUGUGACUUGUUGUAGGACGUUUCUGGACUGGUUUAGACGCAAAGUGAGUCUCUCUUGGGUUUAAUUAUUUGUUAAAAUU
This 489-nucleotide small RNA is filed under the name Arabidopsis thaliana (thale cress). Its description in RNAcentral is "ATSL154830". Lineage: Eukaryota; Viridiplantae; Streptophyta; Magnoliopsida; Brassicales; Brassicaceae. The record is from RNAcentral.